GAUGAACGCUGGCGGCGUGCCUAAUACAUGCAAGUCGAGCGAACGGACGAGAAGCUUGCUCCUCUGAUGUUAGCGGCGGACGGGUGAGUAACACGUGGAUAACCUACCUAUAAGACUGGGAUAACUUCGGGAAACCGGAGCUAAUACCGGAUAAUAUUUUGAACCGCAUGGUUCAAAAGUGAAAGACGGUCUUGCUGUCACUUAUAGAUGGAUCCGCGCUGCAUUAGCUAGUUGGUAAGGUAACGGCUUACCAAGGCAACGAUGCAUAGCCGCCCUGAGAGGGUGAUCGGCCACCCUGGAACUGAGACACGGUCCAGACUCCUACGGUAGGCAGCAGUAGGGAAUCUUCCGCAAUGGGCGAAAGCCUGACGGAGCAACGCCGCGUGAGUGAUGAAGGUCUUCGGAUCGUAAAACUCUGUUAUUAGGGAAGAACAAAUGUGUAAGUAACUGUGCACAUCUUGACGGUACCUAAUCAGAAAGCCACGGCUAACUACGUG
Molecule: ribosomal RNA, 497 nt
Filed under: uncultured bacterium
Lineage: Bacteria
Description: partial 16S ribosomal RNA
Rfam family: Bacterial small subunit ribosomal RNA
Source: RNAcentral